RNAcentral lists this long non-coding RNA (367 nucleotides) under Apteryx owenii (little spotted kiwi). Its description in RNAcentral is "lncRNA (ENSAOWG00000000698.1)". The record is from RNAcentral. Lineage: Eukaryota; Metazoa; Chordata; Aves; Apterygiformes; Apterygidae.
AAAAGAGCAGCAAACCCCAUAUGAACAUCAAUCACGUUUUGAGGGAACACUCCCUUUGCUAUACUCCAGAGGAAGAUUAAUUGGCUGGCCUUAAGUUUCUGCUUGGAGAAGAAAUAACAUUUCACGAUCAGAAACAGAAACUCAAUUUUCUGAGAAUGAAGAGCCCAAUGCCGUAUCAACCAGAGCUAAAGAGACAGGCUUGGCAGCUGUUGGAGCUGUGAACUGUACUCACAUGGGUGAGAGCUGCAACAGGAUGUUCUUUCAUGAGGAUCUCACAGGUGUUGGAGUUCCAAUCUAACCCCUGCCUCCUCACAAGGUCAGUACUGUGGCUAAACUCUGAAGACCUACGGGUGUGAAGAAAGCCCCA